GUGAAGUUUUCGGCUCAGUAUUGAAAGGAGCCAGUGGCGUUGUGGGCCGCUCAUGUGGUUUGGACGGAAUAGCCGGCACAUACUUGUGAGCAUCCUCUGCUGUCUUUACUGCCUGGUUGACCUCGACAAGAAUCCUUUUAGAGGAUUCCACUGCCCGUUGAAUGGCUUCCGCCUCGGUGGUGUUUUCUGGCAGCAAGCGCACGGUCACCUUGUAAAGGUUCUCAAACAAAAGCGGAUACUUGGUGAGGCGCUGCAGCACGGUGGGCAGCAAGUCCUUUAGCUCGAGGCGGCGACAUGCCUUGUGUGACUCCGACUUUUUCAAUAGCUUUUGCAGCAUCUCGUCCUUGUUGCGCUUCUCCUUGAGUGCCUCCAAGGCGAUUUGCUGGCGGGCACAGAACUGAGCCGCAAACUCGCAAAGAACAACUCCAGACUGACCAUCGAACAUGUCGGCGAGCAGAUCCCCUAUGGUGUUCACCACGUGGUUAUGCUCGAUGCGUCGUUGCUUAAGACUCUGCUCGAAGGCGCCAUGAAUCUCACGGAGCGACAGCAAGGCGGGCGGGAACAACAACAGCAAAUGAUCCUGGGACAGCAAUCCACUCUCGUAGAGUGGCAGGAAGAAUAAUCGAUCCAGCAGCUUUAGGGUGCGCACAUGGUUGCGUUCAGUUUGAUAGAUUUCUUGAAAUAAUUAAGCAGAAAGCAUACAUACAGUAUUGUUAUAUUAAAUAGAGAUGUAAGGAUUAAUUUACCAUUUAUAAUCUCCUGACGCUUCUUCUCAGCGUCCGUUAAGGCUGCCAACACCUCUGCGGCCACCAUGGAACUCCAGUCCGCCUCGUUCACGUCGUCUUCAUCCUCGCUCUCCAGCGUCCAACGAGCUACAGGCAAUGGGUGGCCAGCAUUCCAGAAACUAGAGUUGCUAGCUGCACUGCUCCCAGCGGCCCCUGCCAAACCCGCCUGAAAGGAAUCCUGCUGGCAGUACUGCUGGGCGUGCUGCUGGAUGAGCAGAUGGGGGUGCUGGUUCUGGUUCAAUCCCAUUGGCGGCACCUGGACGCCACCCGCUGCUCCGGGUGCAGCAAAGUGCUCCAUUGACGUGCUGGGACUCUCGCUGCCGCCAGCUGAAGAGAGACUAGAAUUCGAACUGCCCACAUAAGUGGCAUUCGAUAGACCCAAGUCCAGUUGUUCAUCACUGCGUUGAAAGAUAAAAAAAGUAAACAAUAUUGAAUGUGUUCGUUAAGGUAUCAUAAAACAAAUGUGCUCCGAGAAAGAAAAAGAUAUACAAGUCUAGUGCAAAUGCGAUUAUGUAAGCUUAAAAAAAAAAUAAAUAAAUUCAAAAAAAUGCUGGUCAAUAAAAUUAGCAGUUGUAUAUUUUGAUCAUUUCG
This is a non-coding RNA of Drosophila melanogaster (fruit fly), 1376 nucleotides long. NCBI's taxonomy places the organism in Eukaryota, Metazoa, Arthropoda, Insecta, Diptera, Drosophilidae. The record is from Ensembl.